RNAcentral lists this ribosomal RNA (1194 nucleotides) under Macronychia sp. T480. RNAcentral describes it as "eukaryotic LSU rRNA". It matches the Rfam family "Eukaryotic large subunit ribosomal RNA", at positions 120 to 1223 of the family's 3401-position model. Lineage: Eukaryota; Metazoa; Arthropoda; Insecta; Diptera; Sarcophagidae. The record is from RNAcentral.
UUUGUCUUUAUGGCAAAUGUGAGAUGCAGUGUAUGGAAUGUCAAAUUUCUAGUAUGAGAAAUUAACGAUUUAAGUCCUUCUUAAAUGAGGCCAUUUACCCAAAGAGGGUGCCAGGCCCGUAUAACGUUAAUGAUUACUAGAUGAUAUUUCCAAAGAGUCGUGUUGCUUGAUAGUGCAGCACUAAGUGGGUGGUAAACUCCAUCUAAAACUAAAUAUAACCAUGAGACCGAUAGUAAACAAGUACCGUGAGGGAAAGUUGAAAAGAACUCUGAAUAGAGAGUUAAAUAGUACGUGAAACUGCUUAGAGGUUAAGCCCGAUGAACCUGAAUAUCCUUAUGGAAAAUUCAUCAUUAUGAUUUUAAUAUAUAUUAAAUUAAUGGUGUGCAUUUUUUCCAUAAGGACAUUGUAAUCUAUUAACAAUUUAUCAAAAGAUCAAGUUUAUUCAAAUUAUUUUGCUCAAUUUAACAUAGAAUAAAUGCUAUUGAUUUGAUAAAGUGUUGAUAGUUAUAGUGCUUAAAUUUUAUAUUAGUAUGUAUUAUAUGCACUUAUAUGAUUAACAAUGCGAAAGAUUCAGGAUACCUUCGGGACCCGUCUUGAAACACGGACCAAGGAGUCUAACAUAUUUGCAAGUUAUUGGGAAAAUAGCAUAAUUAACAUAACUUGGGAUUAGUUUUUUAAUUCAAUCCCGGGGCGUUCUAUAUAGUUAUGUAUAAUAAUAUUAUAUUAUUUAUACCUCUAACUAGAGCGUACCUUGAGCAUAUAUGCUGUGACCCGAAAGAUGGUGAACUAUACUUGAUCAGGUUGAAGUCAGGGGAAACCCUGAUGGAAGACCGAAACAGUUCUGACGUGCAAAUCGAUUGUCAGAAUUGAGUAUAGGGGCGAAAGACCAAUCGAACCAUCUAGUAGCUGGUUCCCUCCGAAGUUUCCCUCAGGAUAGCUGGUGCAUUUAAAAAUUAUGCAAAAUAAUCUUAUCUGGUAAAGCGAAUGAUUAGAGGCCUUAGGAUCGAAACGAUCUUAACCUAUUCUCAAACUUUAAAUGGGUAAGAACCUCACCUUUCUUGGUAUGAAGGUUGUGGUUGUGAUAUAAUGUGCCCAGUGGGCCACUUUUGGUAAGCAGAACUGGCGCUGUGGGAUGAACCAAACGUAAUGUUACGGUGCCCAAAUUAACAACUCAUGCAGAAACCAUGAAAGGCG